GACGAACGCUGGCGGCGUGCUUAACACAUGCAAGUCGAACGGAAAGGCCCUGCUUUUGUGGGGUGCUCGAGUGGCGAACGGGUGAGUAACACGUGAGUAACCUGCCCUUGACUUUGGGAUAACUUCAGGAAACUGGGGCUAAUACCGGAUAGGAGCUCCUGCUGCAUGGUGGGGGUUGGAAAGUUUCGGCGGUUGGGGAUGGACUCGCGGCUUAUCAGCUUGUUGGUGGGGUAGUGGCUUACCAAGGCUUUGACGGGUAGCCGGCCUGAGAGGGUGACCGGUCACAUUGGGACUGAGAUACGGCCCAGACUCCUACGGGAGGCAGCAGUGGGGAAUACUGCACAAUGGGCGGAAGCCUGAUGCAGCAACGCCGCGUGCGGGAUGACGGCCUUCGGGUUGUAAACCGCUUUCGCCUGUGACGAAGCGUGAGUGACGGUAAUGGGUAAAGAAGCACCGGCUAACUACGUG
This 468-nucleotide ribosomal RNA is filed under the name uncultured bacterium. RNAcentral's name for it is "partial 16S ribosomal RNA". It matches the Rfam family "Bacterial small subunit ribosomal RNA", at positions 28 to 507 of the family's 1533-position model. The record is from RNAcentral.